GACGAACCGUGCGAACGUUGUUCGGAAUCACUGGGCAUAAAGGGCGCGUAGGCGGCUCGCGAGGUCGGGGGUGAAAUCCCACAGCUUAACUGUGGAAGUGCCUUCGAUACCGGCGGGCUCGAGGAAGGUAGGGGUGCGCGGAACUUCUGGUGGAGCGGUGAAAUGCGUUGAUAUCAGAAGGAACGCCGGCGGCGAAAGCGGCGCACUGGACCUUUUCUGACGCUGAGGCGCGAAAGCCAGGGGAGCAAACGGG
This 253-nucleotide ribosomal RNA is filed under the name uncultured bacterium. Its description in RNAcentral is "partial 16S ribosomal RNA". It matches the Rfam family "Bacterial small subunit ribosomal RNA", at positions 524 to 776 of the family's 1533-position model. The record is from RNAcentral.